This 225-nucleotide ribosomal RNA is filed under the name uncultured bacterium. Its description in RNAcentral is "partial 16S ribosomal RNA". It matches the Rfam family "Bacterial small subunit ribosomal RNA", at positions 99 to 334 of the family's 1533-position model. The record is from RNAcentral.
CGGACGGCUGAGUAAUGUAUAGGAAUCUGCCUUCUUCUGGGGGAUAGCUCGCCGAAAGGCGGGGUAAUACCCCAUGUGCUCUCACGAGGAAAGGACGUAACUGUUCGGAAGAAGAUGAGCCUGUAUUCUAUCAGAUAGUUGGUGGGGUUAAUGGCCUACCAAGUCAAUGACGGAUAGCUGAUCUAAGAGGAUGGACAGCCAGAGGGGUACUGAGACACGGACCCC